AUGCGAUAAGUAAUGUGAAUUGCAGAAUUCAGUGAAUCAUCGAAUCUUUGAACGCACCUUGCGCUCCUUGGCAUUCCGAGGAGCAUGCCUGUUUGAGUGUCGUUGAAUUCUCAUUCCCGGUACAUACCCGGGUCUGGAUUGGUGGAGGUCUUGCAGGUGGGGAUUCCCUCUGCUCCUCUGAAAUGCAUUAUGGGCUGGUGCACCGAAUCUGUGACCCUAUCCAUGGGCCAUGAUCGGUGGGACAGCUUAACUUGUGCGAACCCGCGUCGUCGGUAUGAUAUAACAGGUCCUACCAACUUCGAACGGCUGUCGUGCUACUCAGAUAUUUGACCUCAAAUCAGGCAGGACUACCCGCUGAACUUAA
This 364-nucleotide unclassified non-coding RNA is filed under the name uncultured Agaricomycetes. Its description in RNAcentral is "partial contains 5.8S ribosomal RNA, internal transcribed spacer 2, and large subunit ribosomal RNA". The stretch from base 1 to 102 matches the Rfam family "5.8S ribosomal RNA", at positions 53 to 154 of the family's 154-position model. The record is from RNAcentral. Lineage: Eukaryota; Fungi; Basidiomycota; Agaricomycetes.